AACGAACGCUGGCGGCAUGCCUAACACAUGCAAGUCGAACGAGACCUUCGGGUCGGGUGGCUCACGGGUGCGUAACGGGGUGGAACCUGCCCUGAGGUUCUGAAUAACGCCCUGAAAUGGGUGCGAAUACCGGAUAAUGUCUUCGGACCAAAGAUUUAUCGCCUUUGGAUGGGCCCGCGUUGGAUUAGCUAGUUGGUAGGGUCAAAGCCUACCAAGGCGACGUUCCAUAACUGGUCUGAGAGGAUGACAAGCCACACUGGGACUGAGACACGGCCCAGACUGCUACGGGAGGGAGCAGUAGGGAAUAUUGGACGAUGGGCGAAAGCCUGAUGCCGCCAUGCCGGGUGAGUGGUGAAGGGCUUAGGGUUGUAAUGUCAGUUUACACGAGGUGAUAAUGACAGUACCUGGAGAAUAAGCACCGGCUAAAUACGUG
Molecule: ribosomal RNA, 433 nt
Filed under: uncultured bacterium
Lineage: Bacteria
Description: partial 16S ribosomal RNA
Rfam family: Bacterial small subunit ribosomal RNA
Source: RNAcentral